GGAAGUAAAAGUCGUAACAAGGUUCCGUAGGUGAACCUGCGGAAGGAUCAUUAAAAACGAGACCUGAUUUUCAAGGUCUAUUAAUAUCCUACCCUUUGUGAAUUUGUUUGUUUAUUAUGUGUCUUUCCUGGUUUUGAUGGAGCCUGUAAAGUGAAAUCAAUCCAGGGAAUGGCAAAACUUUUUUUUAAAUUAAACUUUUUGUAUUCAUUUGUCUAAAAUUAUUUUAUAAUAUAAAACAACUUUUGACAAUGAUCUCUUGUUCUCGCAACGAUGAAGAACGCAGCAAAAUGCGAUAAGUAGUGUGAAUUGCAGAAUACGUGAAUCAUCGAAUCUUCGAACGCAUAUUGCACUUUUUGGUUUACCAAAAAGUAUGUCUGUUUGAGUAUCAGUAAAUAUUCUCAUAAAAACUAUUGUUUUAUGGUUAUGAGUGUUUUACAACGAUAAACAAGUUGUUUCACUUUAAAUUCUUUGUCUUGUAAAAAUCAUUAAAAACUGAUUUUUUUUAAAUUGGAUAAAAUUUUCCCGUAAAAGGAAUAACCUAAAAAUUUUGAAAAAUUAUUAGUUUGAUUUUUUCUUGAAUCCAAACAAAGGAAAAAAGUAAAAAUUAACUUGAUCUCAAAUCAGAUAAGAGUACCGCUGAACUAAGCAUAUCAAUAAGCGGAGGAAAAGAAACUAAUAGGAUUCCCUCAGUAACGGCGAGUGAGCGGGAAGAGCUCAAAUUUGAAAUCUUCAAGUUCUACCUUGCGAAUUGUAGUUUAAAGAAGUGUUUUCUGUUGGAGUUUUGGUAAAGUUCUUUGAAUAGGACAUCAUAGAGGUGAGAAUCCCGUAUUUGACCAUUAUUCCAACUUUGUGAUACACUUUCAAAGAGUCGGAUUGUUUGGGAAUGCAGUCAAAUGGUGGUAAUUCAUCUAAGCUAAAUACUGGCGAGAGACCGAUAGCGAACAAGUACCGUGAGGGUAAGAUGAAAAGAACUUUGAAAAGAGAGUAAACAGUACGUGAAAUUGUCAAAGGGAAGCGUUUGACACCAGUGUUGUUUCUCGAAAAUCAAUUAAAAAUGGUGGAUUUGUGUUGUAUUGACUUUAUCAGCUUUCUGCACUUUUUUCCUAUCUUUUUUAAUGCACUUUUCGUUUAACAAUCAACAUCAAUUUCUUUUGUUGUAAAAGGGUCAUUGGAAGGUGGCUUUCUUUCGGAGAAAGUGUUUAUAGCCUUUGGCCUCUGCAAUCGGAGAUUGAGGUCUGCAGCGUAGAUCCUUCGGGUUAGAUACAUUUGUGC
RNAcentral lists this unclassified non-coding RNA (1272 nucleotides) under uncultured Neocallimastigales. RNAcentral describes it as "partial contains small subunit ribosomal RNA, internal transcribed spacer 1, 5.8S ribosomal RNA, internal transcribed spacer 2, and large subunit ribosomal RNA". The stretch from base 611 to 1272 matches the Rfam family "Eukaryotic large subunit ribosomal RNA", at positions 1 to 626 of the family's 3401-position model. The record is from RNAcentral. Lineage: Eukaryota; Fungi; Neocallimastigomycota; Neocallimastigomycetes; Neocallimastigales.